RNAcentral lists this small nucleolar RNA (107 nucleotides) under Gossypium hirsutum (cotton). Its description in RNAcentral is "Plant small nucleolar RNA R71". It matches the Rfam family "Plant small nucleolar RNA R71". From Rfam's summary of the family: R71 is a member of the C/D box family of snoRNAs containing the C (UGAUGA) and D (CUGA) box motifs. Multiple nearly identical copies of this snoRNA have been identified in Arabidopsis, and it is thought to function as a 2'-O-ribose methylation guide for 18S ribosomal RNA. Lineage: Eukaryota; Viridiplantae; Streptophyta; Magnoliopsida; Malvales; Malvaceae. The record is from Rfam by way of RNAcentral.
AAUUCAUGGUGUGGGCAUUUCCUGACCAACAUUUUAAAAUACUCUCAUGCUUCAUGAAAGCUUUCCCCUUGUAACUAUUUGAACAUCGAAAUUUUCUUUCUUAGCUU